Long non-coding RNA from Mustela lutreola (European mink), 4400 nucleotides. RefSeq lists it as uncharacterized. The transcript has 2 exons. The record is from RefSeq and is a predicted model, not a curated record. Lineage: Eukaryota; Metazoa; Chordata; Mammalia; Carnivora; Mustelidae.
UUACUUUCCAGGUAUGACUGUUGCUAAAGUGGAAUGGGCUGUGUACCGAAAGAGUCAGAUCUAUAUGUUCUGAGGACUGUUUUAUUAUCUGCCCCUAGAACAACUAGGAUCCGAGUUGGCCAAAGUCUGUAGCCAGAGCUGAUUUCCUGCAGGAGCCUAAGACAUUUGGUGAGGCUCUGCAGUAUCCAUUGCUCAAUUUCGGGCACUUAAAUCUUCAUUUAGAGGGGCACCUAGUUGGCUCAGUGGGUUAAAGGCUCUGCCUUCAGCUUGGGUCGUGAUCCCGGGGUCCUGGGAUCGAGCCCCGCAUCGGGCUCCCUGCUCGGUGGGGAGCCUGCUUCGCCCCCUCUCUCUCUGCCUACUUGUGACAUCUAUCUCUCUCUCUCUCUCUCUCUCUGUCAAAUAAAUAAAUAAAUAAAUAAAAUCUUAAAUCUUUAUUUAGACAUUUUUCUCCCAAUAUUUUUUUAGUAACUUCUUAUUUUCUUAAUUUUAAAGAUUUUAUUUAUUUAUUUAUUUAUCUAUUUGCGAGAGAGCGAAUGAGAGGGGGAAGGGUCAGAGGGAGAAGCAGACUGCCCACUGAGUAGGAAGCUCGAAGCAGGACUCGAUCCUGCGUCUCCAGGAUCAUGACCCAAACCGAAAGGCAGUUGCUUAACCAAAUGAGCCACCCAGGCGCCCAGUAACUUCUUUUAUUAGAAUACUAAUAUAUACCUUUUAGUAAGACACAAAAACAUAAAGAAGAAAAUUAUCUAUCAUCUUGCCACUGGGAAAUACCAAUUUUGGAAAUAUUUCUUUCCAGUCUUUUUAUCCUGUGAGUAUCCCAGUAUGAAGUCAGUGUUCUUAAUUUUUUCUCAUUUUUCUAUUUUUACCCGUAUUUCACUAUUUACUCUUUCUACAUGCAAGUUUAUUUCUAUUGUAACAAAUAUACCAAAUAAGUACUACUUCACAGCGUACAUGUUUUGGAUGGAUUAUCUUUAAGAGUGGGUAAAGACUGAAAAUACAAAUGGAUGCCAGAAGGUGAGCAUAAAUUCACAGAACCCUAGCGGACACAAUGGCAUGUUGGGAUUUCUUAAAAGCCAUUCGAGGUUGAUUUUUUAGGACAACCAUGACCUCCUGCAAACAUCCAUUGGGGCGCUUGCCAUAAAUAGGAUGACAGUUUGAAUGGACCACGAGUCAAUCUGCCUUGGUAUGGAAAUUACUGUUUGCUUCAUGUAGAGUCAGUCUAUCUGACUUGUGUUACAAAACCUGGCCUGUAUUCCUUUAGGAGUUUCCUAGCUGGGUCAUCUCUUCCUAGGAAGGGCCAGCUGGGUGGCAGGGGCAGGGGCAGGGCGGAGAGUCUGAGAACAUUGGAAACACGGCUCGCAGCACGAGGAGGUCCAGAGUGUCUGCCUCUCUUGAGAAUUCACUUCCUCUUCUCAAACCAGCUUCCUCCACUUCGUGGAAAACAGGCUGCACAUUGCACCAGCCUCAGAUCUGGUGUCUGCUGGGAGAAGCUGCCCCUCUUCUCUUGUUUCUAUUUUCAAGACAACCUUCUGACUGGCCCCUCUGAGCUCUCAUGCAAGCACAGCCUCACCCCCUAUUAGCUGUAACCUUGAGGGCCAGCUCCACUACAGCACCAGGUGGGACUGAGAGGACGGAGGGUACCUGAGGGUAAGGAGCGCUUCUCCAGAAGAAGGAAAGGCGAGGCUCAGCAGCACAAAGCCAGCUGUGGCCCAUACCCACCAGCGUGCAAGGCUUGUCUCAGCUGAGCAUGCGCAGCUUCUCAGGGUCUGUAUCUUCUAGCCCUAUACCUUCGCACUACACUUCGAUGUAUGUUACUGUAGCUGACCAUCUCCGUGGCCUUGGGAAGUAGUCAAGGCAAGCUUUAUUAUCACCAUUUUACAAGACUUCGAGAAGUCAGAUCAUCUGACCAACACUCAACAGGAAUGAAAUGGCUGAGAUUCCAGGCACUCCCCUGUCCUCUGGGACCCCUGCCGUGUGCCAGAGGCCACUCUGCUGACUGAAUGGCGCUACCUCACCAGGGUAGGAGAGCUGGGAGGAUCAGAAAGGACUGGGGUUCCCUCUCUUGUCGGGUUGAUGACCAGGGACCAAGCACACCUCCUAUUCUGGAGCCAGUCUGGUUAUGGUUGGACAUCCCAGUCAGGUCUGUCCUUUCAACCCCUCCAGAAUUUUCCUGCUUCCUAGAUAUUUUGAGAGCUCCAUCUUGAUGUAUUGUUGGUCUCUGUGGCUCUGAAUUGACUGCACACCUAAAUUUUUUUCAUCAGUUUCUUCUUUAGCACAGAGAUCAAUCCCAAAAACAUGGCUAUGGAUAGAGGCAGCCCCGAGAAAAUGGAGAUUUUAUCUUCUCUGGUUUUGGUGAAGGCCAGUUUUCAUUUUUUAUUUUUUUCUUCUUUCUUCAAAGCUUCAAAAUUAAAAAGAUACUCUUAGAGGAACCCAUAACUUGAAAAUUAUUUCUCUGAUGCAUGCCUCUCUCUAUCUUUCUUGGUUUACCUCCUGUAGUGUUCAAGGAAGCUGAAAGCUUCAAAGCCAGGAACGUGACCCAGAUCUCUUUGAUGGCAGUGGUAACAUCUUGGGAAGGAAAGCAUAGAGUUAAUGCUGAAAUUAGCAUUCCUGGAAGUAGCAAGUGACUUGAAAAUUAUGCUGACUUGUCUUGCAUGCAUUGUAUUUGUAUCCUAACCAAGUGUUUCCAAGGAGCUAUCCCUGGCAAUGGAACAGACGGAACCAAGGGGCUUGAAUGUGUUCUAAUCACCGAUGACUACAGAAAAUGAACUGGAAUCUAUUUAGAUCACUGUAUUGCAUGAGCAUGAGAGUGAUGUUCUCAUCUUUUUUUUUCCCCUAUUGGACCUUCUUAAGAAAAUGGAAUACCCUUGAUAUGGUAUCUAAAAAUAAAGUAAGUGAUGCUUUGAUGUCUGUUCUUUCUUUUCCAUGUAACAGUGGGUGUGUGUUUCUCAGAGCUGUGUGCCAGUAAUCAGACAGGGCCAUGAACAAAUGUCCAUUGCUUCCAAGUCAUAAGAACACUUGGCAAAAAGGUGACUUUCCCUCCUGUCUCCUGUCUUUGAACUUUAAACGAUACGGAGAAACUUGUCUUAACAAGAGAGGGAUAAAAAAGACCUGCCAAGUUUAAACACUGGUUGAUAACUAGCUUCAUAUCAGCUGUACAACCCAUACCAUGUAGUCUGAAGAUGAAAAAUAGUGUUCUCUUUUGCCUUCUAAAAGAGCUCCCGACUAACUUGCCGGUGUCACAGAAUGGUUAAGUCCAUGCCUUGAUCCACGCCGUGUACUCAGGUUAUCACAGAAAUCUCGGAGGUGUAUGUGGCAAUGUAUGGGAUAUUGCAUUCUCUAACAGAAACAUCAGUUUCCCUUUCUCGCAUUUGGUCAAGCUUGCCUCUAUCUGGUUAUCACUUGAGGUUUCUUGUGCCCCUCAACACAUUUCUCUCAUCCUUUAUUUAUGUCUCUUUUGGUCGAACCCUUUUCUCUCUCUCCCUUUCCUGUUUUCCUUCUGCUGCAUGCACCUCUGGCAGUGUGGGAUUCUGGCCGCACUAAAGUGGGGGCAGCUGACCGGAUGACUUUUUGGUCCUCAAGGCCAGGAAGGACACAAUAAGAGGAGACGGAGGAGUCUGGGACAUCUGUGUUGUGAGAGAACAGUUGUACGAGCUAGUUCUUGUGCUUCAGAGCUGCAGUUUCUGUUUUUUGAGUUGAGACGGAUGAGAUGGGAGAUUAAGAGUUUCUCUGAAGUAUCAUAGUUGAAACUGUUGGUUGCCUGAGUUUAUUCUUGGCUCUACAUACAGUUAAAUAGCUCUGCGACCUGGUUUCUUAACUUUGGAAAACUUUCUCAUGCAAGAAAGUAGGAAUCCCAAAUAGUGCCUACUUCAUAGAGCUGUUAUAAGGAUAAUAUUAUGUAACUUAUAUCAAGGACAUUGCCCAGUGUGUAGUAAAUGCCCAAUACAUAUUAGUCACUAUUCAUUGUUUUACAUUCAUUGGACACAGUUGUCUCUUUAUCACUGGUAUGUUUUCUUUAAAGUUCAAAUGUCAGGAAAGAAGCAAUCAGACUUUCCUUUCUGUUGAGGUACUUAGAUCAGGAUGGUAAACAGAUGGAAGAUUUGCUGCUAGAGUUAAUGGUGACCAGUGGGACGUAAAAUUGGACUUUUAUAGAAAACACAAAGACCACAAGAAAACUGCUAUGGAUUGGUUAGGCGUAAGAAGCUAGACCGGCAGGGCUAGAGACUGUUGGGAAGUUUAAGAUAUUUCUGAGUCCGAAAUGACUGAAAAGACUGAGUACCCGCUUCUGAUUUGUCUGAAUUCUUUUAUUUUUGUGAAAACACUCUUUUGGCCAGCAUGGCUUAUGUUUUCUCUUCUGUAAGAGAAAAUAGCUAAAGAAAAAAAAAAAAGAAGAAGAAGAAGAAGAA